UUGCGGGACACAUUGAACAUCGACAUAUUGAACGCAUAUUGCGGCCACGGGUCCGUCCUGUGGCCACGCCCGUCUGAGGGUCGGCGA
RNAcentral lists this ribosomal RNA (87 nucleotides) under Potamopyrgus antipodarum. RNAcentral describes it as "5.8S ribosomal RNA". It matches the Rfam family "5.8S ribosomal RNA", at positions 72 to 154 of the family's 154-position model. From Rfam's summary of the family: 5.8S ribosomal RNA (5.8S rRNA) is a component of the large subunit of the eukaryotic ribosome. It is transcribed by RNA polymerase I as part of the 45S precursor that also contains 18S and 28S rRNA. Functionally, it is thought that 5.8S rRNA may be involved in ribosome translocation. The record is from RNAcentral. Lineage: Eukaryota; Metazoa; Mollusca; Gastropoda; Littorinimorpha; Tateidae.